AUGUGUGGCACAGUGGUUACGAUGCUGAUUGGGAUGCCUGGAAUGGAGUCCCCGCUCCGCUUCCUAUUCCAAAUCCCUGCUCACGCACAUUCUGAGGGCAGUGGUGAGGUUCAAGUACUUGGGUCCUUGUCACUCAUGAGUUCCCUGUUUGCCCUGGCUGUUGCAACCUUAGGUAGAUGUCUCUGUCUCUCUGCCUUUCAAAUAAAAUGUAAAAAAAAAAAAAAAAGAAAGCACCAAGAAAUACUUUUAGUUCUACCAUUUUUUACUUCAUGCCAGUCAAUUCUUAUAACUCAACUCUAUAUAACUUAUUCAUCAAUUCAACCAACAGGUAUUGACCACGUGCUAUAUGCAAGGCACUGGAGAAACAAAAAUGAGCAUGAACUCUCAGCCUGGAAGAUGGUCUUACUCUGACAGUGGCACACUGUGGAUAUUAAAUACACGAGCGUUCUCAUCUACUCCUAUUUGCAUUCCUGCCAGUUUUCAUGGUGGUCAGGACCCACAAACUCAGUUCUCAUUACUGAAUCCAAAUUUUUUUCCAAUGAAAUGUUUUUCCUGACAUGUUAAGAGUUAUUUCUACUUAUAUGUAUGAAGGAGUUUCAAGCUUCUAAUUACUCUUUAAAAUCAAUAAUUUGACUUUUAGCUGUUUCUUAUCAUUGGGCUGAAUUUUGCAUUUUUUUCCUUAGCCACUCUCAUUUUCUUAGUAAACAAGUCCAAUUAUACUUCAUGUCACAUCAGUUACCUGUGUAUUCUUUCCUCACCCCACUGCUUUUGUCUUGAUCCCCCCCAAACACUUCCUGCAGUGAACUCAGAUCUUCCCAUUUACGCAUUUAUCGCAUUAUUUAUAUUACUGCUUUAUUACCUCCUUGUGCUGAAUAUGGAGUAGCAUUCUGCAACCCGUCUUAGCAGGUCUCAUGCUCAUUCCGUGACAUAGUGAGGUUCCUGCCCUUUACUAAGAUUUCUCAUUAAGUCAGCUGUGAUUUUUAGCACUGUGACAAGCCAUGAAAGGAUCUGGUUUGGGAGUCUGGCACCUGAGCACCAGAAGUAUUCAAGAAAUGGACUUUCUGCAGUAAAAGUUACAGGGGACCUUAGUUUACAAAUUAAGUGACAAUAAUGGGAACCAAAUGCCUGAUCUUUCCCUUCAGGAUGACUUCAGAUGUCCAAAUCUAGUGAAACUAUAGCUACCAUGUUUGAAAGAUUAAUUCAUGUUUAGGAUGUUUACCUUUUGCCUGUUUAAAUCUGUACACACCUAAGGGUUAUAUAUACAUUAGUUUCUCUAUCCUAACAGAUCAUCUUUCAUUAAACUCAUCUUCCUUUAAUAUUUCAGUAUCUGUGGGGAAGUGUAAUUAAACAGUGGACACAAAUCUUUAAGCUACUUCCUUUCAGCUGGCUUUUACCCCCAACCUACUGGAUCCACGUGGCAGUGCCUGCACAACAGGAAAGGGAAGUUAGGAAAGGGGAGGGAACCCUCUACAUAUCUUAAGGCUUCAAAGCUGGGAGGAGACAGAGGCCUACAGGUAGCCUUUUCUAUAAUCCCAGGAUCACGCUCUAGGGUGAAAUCUCCACUUAAUGGAUGCUUUCUCAAGUUACACUUUCAUAAGGCCUCAUUAAGAAGUACAUGAAAUACAGUAGAAGUUGAGAGUUACAGGUUUUGAACACCCGUUCAUAGGGUUCUUCCUGGAAUCAGCAGAACUAGUAACAGUUUAGAAGCCAAUAAACUUUCCUUCUUAAAUUUCGUAUUAAAUUUA
This is a long non-coding RNA of Oryctolagus cuniculus (rabbit), 1745 nucleotides long. The record is from Ensembl. NCBI's taxonomy places the organism in Eukaryota, Metazoa, Chordata, Mammalia, Lagomorpha, Leporidae.